RNAcentral lists this ribosomal RNA (389 nucleotides) under Exiguobacterium sp. AHD89. RNAcentral describes it as "partial 16S ribosomal RNA". It matches the Rfam family "Bacterial small subunit ribosomal RNA", at positions 52 to 419 of the family's 1533-position model. Lineage: Bacteria; Bacillati; Bacillota; Bacilli; Caryophanales. The record is from RNAcentral.
UAUAAUGCAGUCGAGCGCAGGAAGCCGUCUGAANCCNUCGGGGGGACCAANGNGGAAUGAGCGGNGGAANGGUGAAUUACACGUAAAGAACCCGGCCAUAGGUCUGGGAAAACCACGAAAAAUCGGGGCUUAUACCGGAAGUGUCAUCNGCACGCAUGGUCCGCUGAUGAAAGGCGCCUCCGCGUCGCCCAUGGAUGGCUUUGCGGUGGAUUAGCUAGUUGGGGGGGUAACCGCCCACCAAGGGGACGAAGCAUAGCCGAACUGAGAGGGUGGUCGGCCACACUGGGACUGAAACACGGCCCAGACUCCUACGGGAGGGAGCAGUANGGAAUUUUCCACAAUGGACGAAAGUCUGAUGGAGCAACCCCGCGUGAACGAUGAAGGCUUUC